UUAUUGUUUUGAAUCUUCUGGAUGUGUAAUGUUUACUGUUAAUUUUUAUUGUUUAUUUCAGUUUUGUAUAUUAUCUACCUCACUUGCUUUGGCAAUGUUAACACAUGUUUCCAUGUCUAACCAGGUUUCAUGUUGUAGUUGUUGGGUGCAGAGCUGACAGGCUGGGGGUCUAACCAGGUUUCAUGUUGUAGUUGUUGGGUACAGAGCUGACAGGCUGGGGGUCUAACCAGGUUUCAUGUUGUUGGGUGUAGAGCUGACAGGCUGGGGGUCUAACCAGGUUUCAUGUUGUUGGGUGUAGAGCUGACAGGCUGGGGGUCUAACCAGGUUUCAUGUUGUUGGGUGUAGAGCUGACAGGCUGGGGGUCUAACCAGGUUUCAUGUUGUAGUUGUUGGGUACAGAGCUGACCGGCUGGGGGUCUAACCAGAGCUGACAGGCUGGGGGUCUAACCAGGUUUCAUGUUGUAGUUGUUGGGUACAGAGCUGACAGGCUGGGGGUCUAACCAGGUUUCAUGUUGUUGGGUGUAGAGCUGACAGGCUGGGGGUCUAACCAGGUUUCAUGUUGUUGGGUGUAGAGCUGACAGGCUGGGGGUCUAACCAGGUUUCAUGUUGUUGGGUGUAGAGCUGACAGGCUGGGGGUCUAACCAGGUUUCAUGUUGUAGUUGUUGGGUACAGAGCUGACCGGCUGGGGGUCUAACCAGAGCUGACAGGCUGGGGGUCUAACCAGGUUUCAUGUUGUAGUUGUUGGGUGUAGAGCUGACAGGCUGGGGGUCUAACCAGGUUUCAUGUUGUUGGGUGUAGAGCUGACAGGCUGGGGGUCUAACCAGGUUUCAUGUUGUAGUUGUUAGGUGUAGAGCUGACAGGCUGGGGGUCUAACCAGGUUUCAUG
Molecule: long non-coding RNA, 884 nt
Organism: Oncorhynchus gorbuscha (pink salmon)
Lineage: Eukaryota; Metazoa; Chordata; Actinopteri; Salmoniformes; Salmonidae
Exons: 3
Source: RefSeq, a predicted model, not a curated record